AUUAGCAGCCAUAUCACUCUGCAACUCACAACUGGCAACCCACUGAAGCUCAGCAGGUGUGAGCCUGGUCAGUACCUGGAUGGGAGACCUCCUGGGAAAAAACUAAGGUUGCUGUUGGAA
Lepisosteus oculatus (spotted gar) is the source of this 120-nucleotide ribosomal RNA. The record is from Rfam. Lineage: Eukaryota; Metazoa; Chordata; Actinopteri; Semionotiformes; Lepisosteidae.